UCCGGUUUAUCACCAGCAGUCUCAUUAGAGUGCUCUAUCCGUAGCAACUAAUGACAAGGGUUGCGCUCGUUGCGGGACUUAACCCAACAUCUCACGACACGAGCUGACGACAGCCAUGCAGCACCUGUGUUCACUUUCCCUUUCGGGCACCUUAUGUAUCUCUACUUCGUUAGUGACAUGUCAAGGGUAGGUAAGGUUUUUCGCGUUGCAUCGAAUUAAUCCACAUCAUCCACCGCUUGUGCGGGUCCCCGUCAAUUCCUUUGAGUUUUAAUCUUGCGACCGUACUCCCCAGGCGGUCAACUUCAUGCGUUAGCUUCGUUACUGCGUCCUUAACGGACCCAACAACUAGUUGACAUCGUUUAGGGCGUGGACUAC
This 375-nucleotide unclassified non-coding RNA is filed under the name uncultured Gammaproteobacteria bacterium. RNAcentral's name for it is "contains 16S-23S intergenic spacer region". The record is from RNAcentral. Lineage: Bacteria; Pseudomonadati; Pseudomonadota; Gammaproteobacteria.